This 85-nucleotide ribosomal RNA is filed under the name Clostridia bacterium. Lineage: Bacteria; Bacillati; Bacillota; Clostridia. The record is from RNAcentral.
UCCCAUUUCGAACACAGAAGUUAAGCUCUCAAACGCCGAAAGUACUACGUUGGAGACGACGUGGGAGGAUAGGAAGAUGCCGGAA